RNAcentral lists this ribosomal RNA (188 nucleotides) under uncultured Streptococcus sp. Its description in RNAcentral is "partial 16S ribosomal RNA". It matches the Rfam family "Bacterial small subunit ribosomal RNA", at positions 1196 to 1382 of the family's 1533-position model. The record is from RNAcentral. Lineage: Bacteria; Bacillati; Bacillota; Bacilli; Lactobacillales; Streptococcaceae.
UGCCCCUUAUGGACCUGGGCUACACACGUGCUACAAUGGUUGGUACAACGAGUUGCGAGUCGGUGACGGCGAGCUAAUCUCUUAAAGCCAAUCUCAGUUCGGAUUGUAGGCUGCAACUCGCCUACAUGAAGUCGGAAUCGCUAGUAAUCGCGGAUCAGCACGCCGCGGUGAAUACGUUCCCGGGCCUU